RNAcentral lists this ribosomal RNA (659 nucleotides) under Amanita sp. RNAcentral's name for it is "LSU rRNA". It matches the Rfam family "Eukaryotic large subunit ribosomal RNA", at positions 77 to 721 of the family's 3401-position model. The record is from RNAcentral. Lineage: Eukaryota; Fungi; Basidiomycota; Agaricomycetes; Agaricales; Amanitaceae.
CCCUUAGUAACUGCGAGUGAAGAGGGAAAAGCUCAAAUUUAAAAUCUGGCAGUGUUUCACUGUCCGAGUUGUAACCUAGAGAAGUGUAACCUGUGCUGGACCGUGUAUAAGUCUCCUGGAAUGGAGCAUCAUAGAGGGUGAGAAUCCCGUCUUUGACACGGACUACCAGUGCAUUGUGGUUGCGCUCUCAACGAGUCGAGUUGUUUGGGAAUGCAGCUCUAAAUGGGUGGUAAAUUCCAUCUAAAGCUAAAUAUUGGCGAGAGACCGAUAGCGAACAAGUACCGUGAGGGAAAGAUGAAAAGAACUUUGGAAAGAGAGUNAAACAGUAUGUGAAAUUGUUGAAAGGGAAACGUUUGAAGUCAGUCGCGUUGGUUGGGGAUCAGCCUGACAUUGUUGGGUGUACUUCCUGGUUGACGGGCCAACAUCAGUUUUGACUGCCAGAAAAAGGCCAAAGGAAUGUGGCACCUUUGGGUGUGUUAUAGCCCUUGGUCGUAUAUGGUGGUUGGGACUGAGGAAAGCAGCGUGCCGAAAGGCUGGGUUUCGACCACGUUCACGCUGAGGAUGUUGGCAUAAUGGCUUUAAGCGACCCGUCUUGAAACACGGACCAAGGAGUCUAACAUGCGUGCGAGUGUUUGGGUGGAAAACCCUUACGCGUAAUG